This 509-nucleotide ribosomal RNA is filed under the name uncultured bacterium. RNAcentral's name for it is "partial 16S ribosomal RNA". It matches the Rfam family "Bacterial small subunit ribosomal RNA", at positions 28 to 523 of the family's 1533-position model. The record is from RNAcentral.
GACGAACGCUGGCGGCGUGCCUAACACAUGCAAGUUGAGCGACGAACCAGGGCUUGCCCUGGGGCAAAGCAGCGAACGGGUGAGUAACACGUGGGUAACCUGCCCCGAUAACCGGGACAACCCGAGGAAACUCGGGCUAAUACCGGAUGUGCUCGCCGGACACCAGUCCGGCGCGUACAGGAAGCUUCGGCCUCCGUAUCGGGAGGGGCCCGCGGCCCAUUAGCUAGUUGGUGAGGUAACGUCUCACCAAGGCCGCGAUGGGUAGCUGGUCUGAGAGGACGAUCAGCCACACUGGGACUGAGACACGGCCCAGACUCCUACGGGAGGCAGCAGUGGGGAAUCUUGCGCAAUGCGCGAAAGCGUGACGCAGCAACGCCGCGUGGGGGAAGAAGGCCUUCGGGUCGUAAACCCCUUUCAGGAGGGACGAAGGUUCGGCGGUGAAUAGCCGUCCGGACUGACGGUACCUCCACAAGAAGCCCCGGCUAACUACGUGCCAGCCGCCGCCGUAA